CAGAAAUUGGUUACAACAAGGCAUUGCCAACAAAUAUGUGCAGUCGUGCAGUUGUGUUGAUGAUACCUCCAGCAGGUAUCUACUGAGUUGGGGUAAAGUUUGUGUAGCCUUGCAGGGGUGUAGAUCCAUCGUGAUAAUUUUUAAUUGCUCUCUUGCAUGGCAAGGUUAUACUAAGAUCUAUAGGAAAAUAUUUUUCCAGUUCUCGGAAGUAAGAGAAAUUCGUAGCUCCUGAGUCCAUU
Molecule: non-coding RNA, 239 nt
Organism: Pelobates cultripes (western spadefoot toad)
Lineage: Eukaryota; Metazoa; Chordata; Amphibia; Anura; Pelobatidae
Source: the annotation of a GenBank genome assembly